CAGUAGCCGCGGUAAUACAGAGGGUGCAAGCGUUAAUCGGAUUUACUGGGCGUAAAGGGCGCGUAGGUGGUUAUGUAAGUGAGAUGUGAAAUCCCCGGGCUCAACCUGGGAACUGCAUCCUAUACUGCGUAGCUGGAGUGCAGUAGAGGGUAGUGGAAUUUCCGGUGUAGCGGUGAAAUGCGUAGAUAUCGGAAGGAACACCAGUGGCGAAUGCGGCUACCUGGGCUGACACUGACACUGAGGCGCGAAAGCGUGGGGAGCAGACAGGAUUAGAUACCCCGGUAGUCCCUGUCUCUUAUAC
Molecule: ribosomal RNA, 301 nt
Filed under: uncultured bacterium
Lineage: Bacteria
Description: partial 16S ribosomal RNA
Rfam family: Bacterial small subunit ribosomal RNA
Source: RNAcentral